Molecule: ribosomal RNA, 533 nt
Filed under: uncultured bacterium
Lineage: Bacteria
Description: bacterial SSU rRNA
Rfam family: Bacterial small subunit ribosomal RNA
Source: RNAcentral
AAUAGAUACCCCGGUAGUCCACGCCGUAAACUAUGAUUACUCGAUGUCGGCGAUAUACUGUCGGUGUCCAAGCGAAAGUGAUAAGUAAUCCACCUGGGGAGUACGAUCGCAAGGUUGAAACUCAAAGGAAUUGACGGGGGCCCACACAAGCGGUGGAGCAUGUGGUUUAAUUCGAUGAUACGCGAGGAACCUUACCUGGGCUUGAAUGCAUUAUGACCGUCCCGGAAACGGGACUUUCUUCGGACAGAAUGCAAGGUGCUGCAUGGUUGUCGUCAGCUCGUGCUGUGAGGUGUCGGGUUAAGUCCCAUAACGAGCGCAACCCCUAUUCUUAGUUGCCAGCGGGUAAUGCCGGGGACUCUAAGAAACUGCCCGCGUAAGCGGUGAGGAAGGUGGGGAUGACGUCAAAUCAUCACGGCCCUUACGUCCAGGGCUACACACGUGCUACAAUGGUCAGUACAAAGGGCAGCUACCUGGUGACAGGAUGCUAAUCUCGAAAACUGAUCUCAGUUCGGAUCGAAGUCUGCAACUCGUAC